Molecule: ribosomal RNA, 253 nt
Filed under: uncultured bacterium
Lineage: Bacteria
Description: partial 16S ribosomal RNA
Rfam family: Bacterial small subunit ribosomal RNA
Source: RNAcentral
UACAGAGGUCCCAAGCGUUGUUCGGAUUCAUUGGGCGUAAAGCGCGCGUAGGUGGCUUCGUAAGUCCGUUGUGAAAGUCAAAGGCUCAACCUUUGAAAGCCGAUGGAUACUGUGAAGCUAGAGUACGGAAGAGGCGAGUGGAAUUCCUGGUGUAGCGGUGGAAUGCGCAGAUAUCAGGAGGAACACCAAUAGCGAAGGCAGCUCGCUGGGACGUUACUGACACUGAGGCGCGAAAGCGUAGGGAGCGAACAGG